GGCUGCGUGUUCAGGACUUGGAACAGCGCCAUGGCCACGUUCAUGAUGGGCCCAGAGAGAAAAUCAGCAACCAAGUAGCAAGAAGACAAAAGAGCCGUGAGCAAGAAAAAAAAUAAAAGGAUCUGUGCAAGGCGAGGAGGCCAGGCGACCUCACAGCUUUCUGCAGCCCAAAGGGAAUGUGAUGGGUGCCUGGCCCACCGGAGCUGAAUCCAGAGCGUUUGUCUCACAGGACUGUCUCCCUCUCUGGGUACCUUCUGGGUGUAGAGGAAAACAGAAGCCAAAUGCUUUGGACAAGGCUGAAAGCGGAAGGCAGCUGUGCUUGGGGGCUCACGUUUGUUUCCAGAAUGUAUCUCCUGGGAGCGGCUGGGAUGCUCAGGCGAGGUCUCCACAAGAGGCAUCUCAAGGAGGCAAAAGAGAGGCCACCACUGCUGGGCCUCACGCUCCAUUUUGGAUUUGUCUUUGAGGAUUCCCCCUCUUCCCCAAGGGCUAAGGGAAGGCUAUCUAGUUGGCGAGCUCUACCUUAAGACGCCAGAUUCUGUCUCAGCCUCCAGUCAAGCCCACUAGUGGAAGUUAUCUGGGAGAAACACAUGGGUCCUGGGCUUCAAGAGACCCUGAAGGCUGGAAGGGGGGACAUUAUGAAAUACUUUACCUUUGUCCUUCCGGGUCUCAGUACUGGGGACUUGCGGGCAGGGCCCUCCAUGCCGAGCCGGAUGGAGUAGGGGUGAUCAUCCAUGGCAGGAAGAUUAGCGUAGCGCCCUGCAAAGGACUCUAGAAUUCUGAGGAAGAGGCAGUGUGACAUAGGGACUUUAAUUCAUCCUCUGGUCAGUUAGCACGUGAGGCGUUCAGGUGGGCAGGUCAGAAGCCUACACUUCAGGGCAGGCUAAGUCACUGCUUAUCUACAUAAACACCCAGAAGUGUUAUAAAUUCAGGUUCUGCAAAGUGACCUAUGUACCAUAUGUGACCCGAGAGAAAGAAUGAUCUGGCACUUCUGCCCCAAGGAACUUCUGCAAAUCCAGCCAGCUGCGGGUCAUGUGAUUCCUGGGCCGCUACUGCAGGAAAACAGCUGCCCUUCCUCCUAAGAGAUCCUGUUGUACACACCAGGCCUUGCAGUGCGCACUCCGACCUCUAAUUUCUGUGUUUGUGACUAGAGAUGAUGACAGUCCUGCAAGGUGAUGGCGAGGAGGCCACAAGCUUUCAAGUAUCAACUUUCUGCUGCAGCGCCUUGCGACUGUGCAACCACAGCAAGGUCAGAACCAGGGUCCCAACCUCUACAGGGCCCCGAGGUUCGCGGUCUCCCACUGCAGGAGGAUGCCUGCUUCCGGGACCAGCUUUCUUUUGGGGGAGCUGCGCGGCCUAGCGGCCUCUGGUAACCAAUGCACGGAUCCCUCUCCUCCCUCUCCCUUACCCCUCCCGAGUCCUAGCUCGUGGUUUGCGUCUUGGCCUCGGGAUCCUCCGGGUCCCACCGCGCGCUGCUCGCGGGCAAGCCGCUGGGCUCUGGCGCCUUGAGCGUCGGAGCAGGUCCUGCCCCCGCCGCGGGCGUGGGGACCUAGAGCUGCCCCUUCGCCCCUUGCCUCGGGCCAGAGGCGGACAAGCGACUGUAGAAGCAGCCGCAGGGUCUGCCCUGCCCCCGCCCCGCGCGGAGAGCUGCUGCCAAGAACUGUAAUAUUAAUAGGUACAAACUUCCUGGAAAGAUUUUCGUCUUCGCGGUAGAUGACCCCUCCUUGUCCGCCGGGGCAGGCGACCGGAGAGUCUGGGACCCACAGGAGCCGGGGACAUUUGGGACCCAGGGAGCCGCGGCUCACGAGGACUGUGGUUCAUUGGUGGGGACCCACUCGGUGGGCAGGUCACAGACGCCGCGGGGCGGGGCAGGGCCGGGCUCGCCUUUGUAAACUAGGUCCCCAGCAUUGGAGCCGCGACAUCCAACUGGCCUGGCCCCCGGGAGCGGGCACGCCCUGAGCCACCCCGCCCGCCCGCAAGCUCCGGCCGCAGCUCCUCCUCCGGAUCGGCUUCGGGGACGCGGACCUUUGGUCACUUAGCAGCACCCAAACAACUCUGCAGCUGAGGCCCAUAGGUGCGUGUCAUUGCUUUCUCCAGGAUUACCUGGCCCAGAAACAGCUGUAGCCAAAGCCGCCUCUCUCUUUCCCAAGAGAGACAGAUCAGGAAGCGUCCCAUCGGCCGGCCGCUUGGGCGCUGUGUGGCCAGUCCCUGCCUGCACCUUGCGAAUAGUCGGGUCCCAGUGCCCACGCAGGCUGCUCACUUCCGGUGAGUGGCUGGAGUUCCCGAACCCUGUUUUUCCCACCUGAAAGUCAUCACUCAUUAAAAAUAUUUACUGAA
This is a long non-coding RNA of Apodemus sylvaticus (European woodmouse), 2334 nucleotides long. RefSeq lists it as uncharacterized. The record is from RefSeq and is a predicted model, not a curated record. The transcript is spliced from 2 exons. Lineage: Eukaryota; Metazoa; Chordata; Mammalia; Rodentia; Muridae.